Molecule: ribosomal RNA, 469 nt
Filed under: uncultured bacterium
Lineage: Bacteria
Description: partial 16S ribosomal RNA
Rfam family: Bacterial small subunit ribosomal RNA
Source: RNAcentral
GACGAACGCUGGCGGCGUGCUUAACACAUGCAAGUCGAACGGAAAGGCCCUGCUUGCAGGGUGCUCGAGUGGCGAACGGGUGAGUAACACGUGGGUGAUCUGCCCCUUACUUUGGGAUAAGCCUGGGAAACUGGGUCUAAUACUGGAUAGGACCAUGCUGUAGGUGGUGUGGUGGAAAGAUUAGUUUCGGUAAGGGAUGAGCUCGCGGCCUAUCAGCUUGUUGGUGGGGUAAUGGCCUACCAAGGCGUCGACGGGUAGCCGGCCUGAGAGGGUGGACGGCCACAUUGGGACUGAGAUACGGCCCAGACUCCUACGGGAGGCAGCAGUGGGGAAUAUUGCACAAUGGGCGCGAGCCUGAUGCAGCGACGCCGCGUGGGGGAUGACGGCCUUCGGGUUGUAAACUCCUUUCAGCCAUGACGAAGCCCUUGUGGUGACGGUAGUGGUAGAAGAAGCACCGGCUAACUACGUG